This 584-nucleotide ribosomal RNA is filed under the name Lactobacillus casei group sp. RNAcentral describes it as "bacterial SSU rRNA". It matches the Rfam family "Bacterial small subunit ribosomal RNA", at positions 180 to 750 of the family's 1533-position model. Lineage: Bacteria; Bacillati; Bacillota; Bacilli; Lactobacillales; Lactobacillaceae. The record is from RNAcentral.
CAAGAACCGCAUGGUUCUUGGCUGAAAGAUGGCGUAAGCUAUCGCUUUUGGAUGGACCCGCGGCGUAUUAGCUAGUUGGUGAGGUAACGGCUCACCAAGGCGAUGAUACGUAGCCGAACUGAGAGGUUGAUCGGCCACAUUGGGACUGAGACACGGCCCAAACUCCUACGGGAGGCAGCAGUAGGGAAUCUUCCACAAUGGACGCAAGUCUGAUGGAGCAACGCCGCGUGAGUGAAGAAGGCUUUCGGGUCGUAAAACUCUGUUGUUGGAGAAGAAUGGUCGGCAGAGUAACUGUUGUCGGCGUGACGGUAUCCAACCAGAAAGCCACGGCUAACUACGUGCCAGCAGCCGCGGUAAUACGUAGGUGGCAAGCGUUAUCCGGAUUUAUUGGGCGUAAAGCGAGCGCAGGCGGUUUUUUAAGUCUGAUGUGAAAGCCCUCGGCUUAACCGAGGAAGCGCAUCGGAAACUGGGAAACUUGAGUGCAGAAGAGGACAGUGGAACUCCAUGUGUAGCGGUGAAAUGCGUAGAUAUAUGGAAGAACACCAGUGGCGAAGGCGGCUGUCUGGUCUGUAACUGACGCUGAG